CUCAUCCUGCUGUAUAUCCAUUAGUAAUGCAACACUCUAAAAAUAAAGUGCGCCCCGGCGUAUCAGUGCCUAUGAACAUGUUGCCUGUGUAAUCACAUUUUAUAUACUUCUUUUUUAUCUGUUGUUAGGAGAGAGGAAUGGUGGGGAUUUUUUUUCCUCCAUCUUCGCUGUUGCAACAGCCAUAGAUGCAGCGGAUAGGCCAGUUGUUAGAACCGGCAGUUGGGUUUGCUUGGUGAAAGAGCUGGGACCUGAUGGAGUUGGAGUGACUGCGAAAGGGUUUGGAGAAAGUCUGUGCAUGGAGGCUGGGUGGAGCCAUUUCUCCUCUCUUCAGUCAGUAUCCUCACAUCACUGGAUGAUCUGUGAGUGGGGUAAGAUCUUUGACAAGCCAAGCGACAGCCAUGCAGGCAGCAGCAGACAGUAGGAGACAAAGAAGUGAGGUGCCCAGUGGGACAUCCACAGAAGAGGAAAAAGGAGACAGGAGCUGGCACACAGGUGAGGGAGGAGCAAUUUUGUGUGCUCUGGGUUUGGGGAGGGGACUGUGGUGACAGAGAGAAGAAUUUGUGAAGAGGUAUACAAAACUGUGUAUUCUUCCACCCUGCAUUCCAGUCUGGUUUUCCACCCAGACACACACUGCUCAAAGUGACAGCUUCAGAUUCCGGAUCAAUAGAGCUGGGAAUCUUGCAUCUAAUCCUCUCCCUGAUGCAUUUUUAAUUGUGUGAGAAAGCAGAGGAGGAUGAGAUGGGUGGUUGGUAUCACAGUGGGGAGAGUGGGCGCACCUCCUAAGUGUCAUCUGUGUCACUGAAGUUAGACGAGUGACAAAUCAGCUCACACAGAUGAGAAGCUUAGAGGGGAAGUGAUGAAUUACAGAGGACUACCUGCACUUCAUGCUACAGAGGAGAAUUAAGAUCUAAGGUAUGAGUUGUGAUGUUCCAGCAAAGGUCUCUGGGAGCAGUUUUAUCACACCUUUUGCUGCACCUUGAUUAUUGUUUGAUUAAUAAGUUGUACAUUUUCUGUUGCGUUUUGGACCUUUGUCCUCCCAAUGUCCCAGAUUUCAGUCAGGCAUCAGCUCUUAAAAAAGAUGGCCUGACAUGUUACUCUAGAACGUUAAUAAGUAUAGUUAGUAUCAGACUAGCACUGGAUAUACAGGGAACAUGACAGACUUACAAUUUUGGACUGUUUAUUAUAAAAUCAAAAAAGUUUUUACCAUUACCAGUGGUGUCUAAAGUACACACAUUUGUUACUUAAGUAGAAGUAUAGAUACUGAGGUUUAAAAACACUCUGGUAAAAGUUGAAGUAAUUUGACCUCAUUGC
Long non-coding RNA from Cyprinodon variegatus (sheepshead minnow), 1311 nucleotides. RefSeq lists it as uncharacterized. Lineage: Eukaryota; Metazoa; Chordata; Actinopteri; Cyprinodontiformes; Cyprinodontidae. The transcript has 3 exons. The record is from RefSeq and is a predicted model, not a curated record.